GACCCUGAGAUCAAGACCUGAGCUGAGAUUUAGAGUCGGAUACUUAAUUGACUGAGCCACCCAGCCUCUCUUGCACAUAUGAUUCUCGCCAAUGAAAGGCUUUGACCAAGGGGAUGCCUCUGUUCCAGUCUCCACCUCCUGCACGUGACAUUGUUCUCAUUCAUCCAGAUUCUCCAUGUUUACGAUGCUCUUUACCUUCUGUCCUAAAUUGUUGUUUACUAUGUUUUCCUGCUGCUAAAUUCCUUGCUGCAUUUCUCCCUGGAGGUAGUUGUAUACUGAUAAUGGUUAAAAUAAUUCUAUAUGUAAAAUAUGCAUGGAAUAUGUAAAUAUUUGUACUUUAACACAGGAAUAAAUCUAAAUUAAAAUGUAUAAAUAUAUUGUUUUCAGAACUCCUUGCAAAUGUUUCACACAGUCAAAACUCCUUUUGAAUAUGGAGUUAAAGAUUGGACACAUAGUUGUAAUUAUUUAUUAAUCAUACAUCAUACAUUUAAUAUUCCCCAAGCUGCCAUAAAAUGUCUGAGGAGACGUGCUGCUAAGAAUAACUUGCUCAGCAUUGCAGUACAAUGCAGACAAUUUUCCACAGGGAAAGAAAAAAAGAAACAUAUCUUUUCACCUAUUGCCAAGCAAAUUGCUAACGAUUUUGCCCAUUUGAGCUGAGAAGUAAUUAGUGGUAUGGGAUAGAGGCCAAGCAUAUCAAGAACUUGAAAAUGUGUUCCUACUUAUGUACUGAUAUGCCCAUUUUGGAUUUAGCUGUAUUUCUGUACAUUUUAUGAAUUUUCUUUAAUUCUGUCACAAUGUUAAUAUUGAUAACUUGCCUUUCUGAAAUAGCAAUUUAAAAAUAAUGAUCACAUUUUCUCUAGAUACAAAUUGUAAUUGUAUGAAUAAUAAUAAUAACAAACUAAGCCAAUUAGGUGCACAUGUUAAUUUGGGGAUCUGACAGCUUAAUCUGAUUUUUCUUUUUUCCAUAGUAACUAAGCCCUGAGCAGUACAGAGGCUCACACCAGCCUCAGAAUAUCAUAAUGCUUACAGCCAGUGGCAAUGGCUUAAUGGGCUAAUCCCUGGCAUCAAAACCUUAGCAGUAUUUUAAAGCUCUAAGUGUCUUCAAGGUCAUCUGAUUUACUUUUCCUGACGUGAUAUUUAAACAUUCAAAUGGUGGCCUAAUCCAAUAUUUCAAACCUCCAAGAUAGACUAAUAUGUCUCUCUAGACAGUUUUUUUCUAGGGUUCAACUACUCUGAAAGUGGAAUAAAUAUAUAAUUAAAUGUAUAAUUUUAUCCUCUGUUUCAGGAAGGAUGGUAAGUUAGCACAUGCCUACUUUUUUUUUUUUUUUUUUUGCAUUUGUGUAAUGUGAUAACUGGCAUGGGUCAUGGACAAGCAUAGAGCCUGAGAACCAGGGAAGUUAGAGAUCAGCUAUUCUGGACACUUGAAAGGCAGCCACCCAACCUGAGGGAAGAGGGACAGGAACAUGAUGGAAAGAAGUAGUCAUGAUCUCAUCAGGCAGUCAUGCUUGUAGUUACUGCCAUUUUAUAAGUGUAUGGUCUUGACCCUGUCUGCUGUUAAUGGUGAGUCAUUCUUGAAAAAAAAAAAAGGCAUAAGUUUAUUUAUUUUUAAAGAUUUUAUUUAUUUAUUCAUGAGAGACAGAGAGAGAGACAGAGAGAGAGAGGCAGA
Canis lupus familiaris (dog) is the source of this 1666-nucleotide long non-coding RNA. RefSeq lists it as uncharacterized. The transcript has 4 exons. NCBI's taxonomy places the organism in Eukaryota, Metazoa, Chordata, Mammalia, Carnivora, Canidae. The record is from RefSeq and is a predicted model, not a curated record.